This 1042-nucleotide long non-coding RNA is filed under the name Coffea arabica (coffee). RNAcentral describes it as "long non-coding RNA (CARA_LNC005935)". Lineage: Eukaryota; Viridiplantae; Streptophyta; Magnoliopsida; Gentianales; Rubiaceae. The record is from RNAcentral.
AAGAAUUUGCCAUUUAAUUAUAUUGAGUAGAGAAAUUUCAUUAUGUUUAAAGCCUUGAGAAUGAUUUUUUUAAAAAAAAAUUUCCAGUAGAAAAUGGAUGUGACUUAAGUAGUGAAGAGGAACCAGAUUAUGAGCGCAAAGUUCCCUUGUGCUGCCAAACAUAUAAAAGUUGGGAAACACGCGAGCGAAGGAACACGCGGACAGGUACUACAAAUGCGGAGGAGAUGGAUAUAAGAUGGGUAUAUAACAAACAAAACCGACGAGGUUGACACUUCCAACUCUGCCGAUCACAGCAAAAUCGCAGAGCUAGUGUUGCACAGGCUAAGAAACGAACGAGAUUGGUUGAGGGAAUUAAAUAUAAGAUAGGUAUAUAUCUUUACUACAAAAUCAGAUUGCCCUCGGCGGAGGAGAUGGAUAGAAGAUGGGUAUAUGACAAACAAAACCGAUGAGGUUGGCACUUCAAACUCUGCCGAUCACAGGAAAAUCGGAGAGCUAGUUUUGCACAGGCAAAGAAACGAACGAGACACAGUAAUGCUCAUUGGGAAGAAAGAUGUUCCAAAUCAUGCUGCCUAGAAGCGGCCGAACAAAAGGAGUAAGCAGGAGGGGUUGGACCAAAAGGUGAAUGAGGCUUUUCGCUCCUCUCCUUCUUUAGUCGGAAGUUGGUACCAGGCCGGGAAAACAGUUCCAGGCCUUAAGAGCUUAAGAGGAGAUCGAAUUCUCCCCGGAACUGGAAGAUCAUUACCAGCGGAUAUGCUUUUUUUUUCCCACAGGUAGCCAAGGAUUCCGAGUCCCGAUACCCUUUGAAAGUACCUCUUGAUACCAAUCCGGGGUCUGUCUCUCUUAAACCAACCAACUCUCUAGGGAAAAAAUCGUCUGGCUUAAGGGCAUGAGUUUACGAUUACUUCGGAUACCUCUUCUCAUAGCACCAAAGCUCUAAAUUCCUGUCUCAGAGGCCGCUAUAGAGCUCUGGGAAAGCUCUUUAGCAUAGGCCUCGACUGUUUUAACAGCCACCGCGCCAGCCACAAGAAAGCCUGGCCACGCG